GAUGAACGCUGGCGGCGUGCCUAAUACAUGCAAGUCGAACGAACAGACGAGGAUCUUGCUCCUCUCUCGUUAGCGGCGCACGUGUGUAUAACACGUGUAUCCUCUACUUAACUGUCUGAUAUCAUCUCGAAACUCCGGAUCUAAUACCAUAUAAUCUCUUGCUCCAUAUUGUUCAAUGGUAAGAGACGGCUUUGCUGGCUCUUCUCGCUGCAUCCGCGCUGCAUUAGCUGGUAGUUAGGGUAACGGCUUAUCACGGCAACGAUGCGUAGCCGACGGGAGAGGGUGAUCGGCGGCACUGGAACUGAGACACGGUCCAGACUCCUACGGGAGGCAGCAGUAGGGAAUCUGCCGCAAUGGGCGAAAGCCUGACGGAGCAACGCCGCGUGAGUGAUGAAGGUCUUCGGAUCGUAAAACUCUGUUAUUAGGGAAGAACAAAUGUGUAAGUAACUAUGCACGUCUUGACGGUACCUGAUCAGAAAGCAACGGCUAACUACGUG
This 497-nucleotide ribosomal RNA is filed under the name uncultured bacterium. Its description in RNAcentral is "partial 16S ribosomal RNA". It matches the Rfam family "Bacterial small subunit ribosomal RNA", at positions 28 to 507 of the family's 1533-position model. The record is from RNAcentral.